Long non-coding RNA from Vitis vinifera (wine grape), 252 nucleotides. RefSeq lists it as uncharacterized. Lineage: Eukaryota; Viridiplantae; Streptophyta; Magnoliopsida; Vitales; Vitaceae. The record is from RefSeq and is a predicted model, not a curated record. The transcript is spliced from 3 exons.
AUCGUAUUAGGAGAUGGUGCUAAUUUCAAUGGUGAAAGUCUGAGUCUGUUUGAAAUGAAUGCCUCCACAAGCAUCAUCUCUGCUUCAGAAGCCUAUGCAGGAUACUUCACUCCCUAUCAAUCCAGCUACUGUUUGGAGAGUUCCUUGAAUAAUACUAAAGCUAGAUGGAAGAUUUUGGUAUGCCAACAUGCUGAGAGUUCAACAGAUUCCAAGCUGGCAAAGAGUGCAGUAGUCAGAGAAGCUGGUGGAGUU